Molecule: ribosomal RNA, 233 nt
Filed under: uncultured bacterium
Lineage: Bacteria
Description: partial 16S ribosomal RNA
Rfam family: Bacterial small subunit ribosomal RNA
Source: RNAcentral
UCCACGCCCUAAACGAUGAACACUAGUCGUCGGGAUGCUAGUCAUCUCGGUGAUGCACUUAACAGAUUAAGUGUUCCGCCUGGGGAGUACGGUCGCAAGAUUAAAACUCAAAGGAAUAGACGGGGGGGACAAAGAGGAAGCAAUACCGCGAGGUGGAGCAAAUCUUUAAACCCUCUCUCAGUUCGGAUUGGAGUCUGCAACUCGACUCCAUGAAGCUGGAAUCGCUAGUAAUC